CAGUAGCCGCGGUAAUACGUAGGUGGCAAGCGUUGUCCGGAAUUAUUGGGCGUAAAGCGCGCGCAGGUGGUUUAAUAAGUCUGAUGUGAAAGCCCACGGCUCAACCGUGGUGGGUCAUUGGAAACUGUUAAACUUGAGUGCAGGAGAGAAAAGUGGAGUUCCUAGUGUAGCGGUGAAAUGCGUAGAGAUUAGGAGGACACCAGGGCGAAGGCGGCUUUUUGGCCUGUAACUGACACUGAGGCGCGAAAGCGUGGGGAGCAAACAGGAUUAGAUACCCCGGUAGUCCCUGUCUCUUAUACAC
RNAcentral lists this ribosomal RNA (301 nucleotides) under uncultured bacterium. Its description in RNAcentral is "partial 16S ribosomal RNA". It matches the Rfam family "Bacterial small subunit ribosomal RNA", at positions 509 to 809 of the family's 1533-position model. The record is from RNAcentral.